This 253-nucleotide ribosomal RNA is filed under the name uncultured bacterium. RNAcentral's name for it is "partial 16S ribosomal RNA". It matches the Rfam family "Bacterial small subunit ribosomal RNA", at positions 524 to 776 of the family's 1533-position model. The record is from RNAcentral.
UACGAAGGGGGCUAGCGUUGCUCGGAAUCACUGGGCGUAAAGGGUGCGUAGGCGGGUCUUUAAGUCAGGGGUGAAAUCCUGGAGUUCAACUCCAGAACUGCCUUUGAUACUGAGGAUCUCGAGUCCGGGAGAGGUGAGUGGAACUCCGAGUGUAGAGGUGAAAUUCGUAGAUAUUCGGAAGAACACCAGUGGCGAAGGCGGCUCACUGGCCCGGUACUGACGCUGAGGUGCGAAAGCGUGGGGAGCAAACAGG